GGAAUCUCCAGUCUCUCCAUUGUCAUCUCUUUACAUAAUUUAAAAUAAGUAAAGAUGAAUUCUUACCGAGGGAAUAUCGAUCAAUGGCAUAUGGACUCUUCUCGAAACAAGACAUUCUUCGUAUGAUUUCACUUCUUCUCCCUUUUCUCACUUCUAAGGUAAUCGAUAUCUCCCUACUUUUCUAGGGUAUCAUUUUAUUUUUUCAACGAUUCCUUUUUCUUCUCUUUUUUCUCUUUCUUUUCUGGUUUUUUUAUAACUUUUUUUUAUUCGGGUAUCCAUGAGAUCCGAAGUAUGCACGGGUUUACGCGACAUCCCUCAUAUCACUUCUACCUAUAGCCUUUUCCACAGUUUCUUUUAAAGGCUGAAGGGAAGAGAGAAAGAAGGCAUCGUACUUUGAAGAAGUGCAGUGUCUUGUGUGGUUCGAAGAAGAAGUCUAAUCCAAUGUAUUCCAACUCCCAAGGUAAGAGAAUAAGUCCAAUUAAGUCCUGAUAAAAGUAGAGACAACGUUAGAUCAACUGGAUAUCCGAUGAAUAAGGGCUUUCAAGAUUGUUGAUACAGCUCAUAGUCAUUCCAAACUUCGGUUCUGAGAUCAAGCAUAAUCAAGAGUCAUAAGAGUGUUAAUCCAAAUCAGAGAAACUGUUAGACUGAGUUCAUAGUUCCCAACAAAAAUUUUGACUCAAUAAAACAAAUUCUUUUUGGACUGACUCGAUAAAACUCCAAAAGAAUAAACAAUGUGAGUAACUACCUCCCCCAGACUUAAACAACACUGUCCCCAGUGUUACCAAGUCUAAGAUUGGCGAACAAAAGAAAAUAAAACAAAAAUAAAUGCAAAAGAAAUAGAAAAAACUCACAAGUGGGUUGCCUCCCACUUAGCGCUUGUUUUCAGUCAUUAGCUUGACUUUGUCGGGGUUCAUGCAUCCGGUUGGUCAGAAAGUGGCACUAAAUGCCUCCGAGAAUAGUGUCUCAUCAUCCAAGGUGGUUUAUAAGCAUUAGGUGUAGGAGAUCGACCAAGUACACGAGGAACAGCAGCAGGGCAGAGUCUAGGUAUGGGUGGGACACCUCUUCUACCUGCAACAUCAUCAAAAGAACCAACAAGCGCUCUACGAUAGUCUCGUGGCUUGGUUAACUGCAAAACAGUCUUUGUACCUUUGAAAGUCUUAUUGAUCAUAUGAGAAGAUUUGGGUAAAGAAGUUGCGUACCUUUGCUUUUCUCGAGGUCUCUGGAGUAUGGGUGGUGAAGCUUUCCGAUUCAGAACAGGGCUCAAGCUUGCAGUAGUAAGAUCAACCCGAAAACCAUCCAUUUUUGGCAAGUUCGGACUGUCGUGGCGAGGGGUGUCGAUCGACACUGAGCUUGAUGUUUGUGUUUCAGCACUUUUUCUGCAAUUUGUCUCAGCGAUCCUCAUCUCUAGCACAAAAACAUCAUCUUCCAAUAACUUAGCAGUAGCUAGACCCUCGCUCUGGUCCCUAGCAGUAAUAUCUUCUGAAUACUCUAUGACUGCCACGUCAUCCAUGGCUUCCUCUAGAGAAAAAGUCUGGCCAUCAAUAGUAGGUGCUCUCCUUAACUUGUCCAUGUCAAAGUUCAUAACCAAAUCACCCACAUGCAGUCCAAUCGUUCCUUUCUGAACAUCUAUAAGAGCACCAGCGGUAGCCAAGAAAGAUCUCCCAAGGAUAAGAGGAUCCUGAGGUUCUUCGCUAUACUUCAAAACCACAAAGUCUGUAGGAAUUAUGCAUUCACCAAUCCUUAUUAGAACAUCCUCUAAAAGACCUUCGGGAAUUCUUUUAGACCUAUCAGCUAGGAUAAGAGAGAUCCUAGUAGGCUUGAAAUCUGUCAACCCAAGUCUCACAGCAACAGAGUAUGGUAUCAAGUUGAUACCUGAGCCAAGAUCACAAAGAGAGUGAGGAAAUCUCUCUGUGAAGAUAGAGCAGUCUAGCACGAAACUUCCUAGAUCAGGUAACUUCUCUGGAAUCUUGCUCUGAAUCAUGGCACUAACUUUUUCAGAAACAAACACUUUCUUCUUCUUCUUCUUCUCUUUCUUACUCUGCAGGGUCUGUUUCAAGAAGAUAGCACCCAUGUCUCUAGCCAGCAAAGCUCCUUCCUCAGGGCUCACAUCAUUUAGGACCAUCCUCUUAACACACCGCUUAAGCAUAGGUGAAUCACGAUCUGCAUGAUCUAAAUGAAUCUCAUUGAUCACCUUUUCCAUCAUUGCCUUGCAUCGAGAUUCCUCUAUCUCCUGUUUAGACUUCCUAGGCUUUGGAAAAGGAACCUUAGGCUUGUAGAUAUUUUCUGUAGAUAGUCGCAGAAGGCGGUGAAGCUGAAAUUGGUUAUGUCCGAGAACGGUGUCGAUCGACGCAAGUGUGGUGUCGGUCGACACUAGUCUUUGGUGUCGAGAGUUGUGUAUCGAUCUCGGUCGAUAUCUCUCCGUCAGAAACGUGUGGUGUCGAACGACACCCAUGGUUGGUGUCGAGCGACACCUCCUGCGGAUCGACAGAAUCUGCAUCUUCAAUCCCAUCAAGCUCAAUGACAUCUUCUACUGUCAAACCUGGUUUCAACACUGAUUUGAGCUGUUUUCCACUCCUCAAGGUCACUGCAUUGCAAGGAUGUUUAGGAUUGGCAUCGGUCUUUCCAGGGAGAAAACCUGGUUGUCGGUUCGGGUUUGCCUGAGUAAACUGAUAGUCCAACUUCUUGGUGUGGUUAAUCAAGGCUUCUAUCUUACCAUUCAAAUCAGUGUAUAGAGCAUCCAUCUUCCCAUUAAAGUCUACUGUCAUCUUCUGCUGUCCUUCUAGAAUCUGUUCAAGCAUAGACUUCAUCUCAGUUUCUGAAGAUUUCGGUGGAGUUGGUUGGUAAGAUGAGUUCCCAUAGCUCCUUGUGAAGCCAUUGCUCUUCUGAUAAUCAGGUCGUGGAGUGUAACCAGAGGAAUUCUGAUUUCCUGUGUAAGUGCUCUUCUGACCAUACCCGCUGUUGAACCGGUUUCCUUGUACGUUACUAAACUUCUGACCCUGAUACCCAGCACCAUUAACGUAGUUCACGUCUUCUUCUUCAUCCUAUUCUGGUUCAAAAGCCUCAACUUCAGCAGCAAACUUAACAUUCUUCUUAUUAACAAGAAGGUGAUGCACAGAAUCAAGUUUCGCCUUGACUUCAGCAAGUUGAAGUCCCUCCAUGUUUUCAGCUAGCUUCUUUCUCUCAAAAUCAGCAACCUUGGUACUAUUGCCGGAAGCUAAGUUCUCGAUCAGCUUGGUGGCUUGAGCUGGAGACCGUGUGUUGUAGUUACCGUUGCUAGCAGCAUCUAAAGCCAUCUGAUACCUCCAAUGCAAUCCUCUGUAGAAAAUGCCCAAAAGCUGAAAUUUGUCGUAUCCAUGGUGGGGACAAUCUCUCUGAUACCCCUUAAAGCGCACCCAAGCAGCCUUGAAUGUCUCAGAGAUUUCCUUGAGAGAAAGUAGAAAUCUUGUUCCUCAGAUCCUCGGACCUUGCAUCAUCAUAAAAGUUGUUCAAGAACGCAACUUUCACAUCCUACCAGCACGUAAGAGAUGCAGGCUUCAACUCCUUGAGCCAUGAUAGUGCUUCUCCAGCUAAAGAGUGCUGGAAAAGCUUGCAGAGCAGGAAAUCCGAAGAUACACCAUCAGCCUUGAUGCUAGAUACUAGAUCUUCAAACUUCUCAAUAUGGUCCAUCGGGUGCUCAUGAGUGUGCCCAUGGAAAGGGUGUUGUCCUACAAGAGUGUAGUAACCAGGCUUCAACUCAAAGUUGUUUCUUUGAAAUGCAGGAGGACGUAUAGCAGAGCGGUUAGAAUAGAACAGAGCAGACAUGUUGUAUUCUCCAAGUGUACGGUUCUCAUCUUCUACUUCAGCAUUCAACGCCAACUCUGCAUUGUCAGCUACGGCGUGGUGUCGAUCCACACCAACCAGGUGUCGCUCGACACAAACGGCGACUGGUUCAGGAAUUACAGUCCCCGUCAGCAUUCAGCUUCUGCCCUUGUGCAUUCCUCACAUGGCCAUCUCCAUCUCUGAGAGUACCCUCAGCAUCUUGAAUUAGAAUCACUGGUGGUGCCAUUGCUGCCCUUUUCUUAGCUUUUCGAAUUCCUCUUUCUAAACCCGCUAUUUCUUAAUUGUUGAGAUCAACUAACUCUUUGUUCUGCUGGCUUCUGGUAUUAGCCAUAAACCUGAAACACCAAAAAGAAAAGAGAAAAGAAAAACGUAAGUAACAGAAUAAAAUUAAAAACUUAGACUAAACUUUUAACCUAAAUCUAAUGGCAAUCAGAAUUAAGUCCCCGGCAGCGGCGCCAAAAUUUGAUCGGCUCAAAUUUGCCCUGAGCUACUCUCUCAAUUAAGAGAUCACUGUAGUGCUUAGGUAUCGAAUCCACAGAGACUCAACGAUUACACAAUAAAUAUUCGGUAUUAAAUUAAGCUAAACAAGCAAGGUUUUAUAUUAAAAACAGCAAAUUAAAAUAAAGAUUAAGUUUUAAAACAAUAUGAGAAAACGCUAGGCUCGGGGAUUCUCAGUAAUCAAUCAAAUUAAAUAAAUUAAUAAAUUAGGAUUCAGAUUAAGCGUCGUUCUUGAACUCAAAUCACUCAUGUAAAAUCUACCAGCUUUCGCUGCGAUGAUUAUCUAAAUUUAAAACUAAAACUCCAUAUUUCUUUGCUAAAUUGUAAAAUUUUAAACCAGCACUAACAUUCAAGUUUGAUAUGCUCACAAAAUCCUUAAACCAAAUCUCUUUGCGAAUAAGUAUUUUGCUCACCCUAGGUUCUUUCAAGUAAUUAAUCACACUCUCAUGUCAAAUUAAUUGACCUAAGAUCUAGACUUUAGGUGAUCAAUCUNNNNNNNNNNNNNNNNNNNNNNNNNNNNNNNNNNNNNNNNNNNNNNNNNNNNNNNNNNNNNNNNNNNNNNNNNNNNNNNNNNNNNNNNNNNNNNNNNNNNNNNNNNNNNNNNNNNNNNNNNNNNNNNNNNNNNNNNNNNNNNNNNNNNNNNNNNNNNNNNNNNNNNNNNNNNNNNNNNNNNNNNNNNNNNNNNNNNNNNNNNNNNNNNNNNNNNNNUACAGGGAGUUCUGAUCUCUCUCUCUCCAGAAGCUCUCAAGGUUUUGCAAUAGAAUUCAGCCCCUUGUUUCUAAAACCUAAAAAGUACUUAAAUAUGUCCAAAACACGUCAGGGACCAAUGUUGCAACUUGGGAAAACUCUGAGCAACUUUUGUAAAUCUUCAAAAUUUGGAAAAACUCGAAAUCUCUCGUCAGGCACAUGGUGUCGAUCGACACUGGUAGGUGGUGUCGAUCGACACUCCUUCACAGAACGUCUCCAAGACAGGUUACUCGGCUCCUUUGCUCCAAUAAGCUCCAAAUCACUCCAUUUGAUCCAAUCAUUGUGAAAUAACUCCUACACCUGAAAAGACUCCAAAAGACCUUAAAAAGUAUAGAAAGACUCGAUAAAAAGCACUUAUAUCAUGGUUAAAAGCCGUAAAAACCAUGAUAUAUCAACUCCCCCAGACUUAGCCUUUGCUUGCCCUCAAGCAAGACAGAAACUCGACCUGCAGGAAACUCUUAUUUGCACUCUUCAUCAUCUUGACUCCAGAGCUUACUUUAUGUACUUUGCUUAUGAGAAGCAUCAACAUUCCUUACUCUAAUCCCACAAUCCUUAGGAAUCUCCAGUCUCUCAAUUGUCAUCUCUUUACAUAGGUUAACACAAGUAAAGGUGAAUUCUUACCGAGGGAAUAUCGAUCAAUGGCAUAUGGACUCUUCUCAAACCAAGACAUUCUUCAUUUGAUUUCACUUCUUCUCCCUUUUCUCACAUCUAAGGUAAUCGACAUCUCCCUACUUUUCUAGGGUAUCAUUUUAUUUUUUCAACGAUUCCCUUUUUUCUGUUUUUUUUAUAACACUUUCUUUUUUUUUCUUAUUCGGGUAUCCAUGAGAUCCGAAGUAUGCACGGGUUUACGCGACAUCCCUCAUAUCACUUCUACCUAUAGCCUUUUUCACAGUUUCUUUUAAAGGCUGAAGGGAAGAGAGAAGGAAGGAAUCAUACUUUGAAGAAGUGCAGUGUCUUGUGCGGCUCGAAGAAGAAGUCUAGUCCAAUGUAUUCCAACUCUUAAGGUAAGAGACUAAGUCCAAUUAAGUC
RNAcentral lists this long non-coding RNA (6093 nucleotides) under Capsella rubella. RNAcentral's name for it is "long non-coding RNA (CRUB_LNC000535)". The stretch from base 3349 to 3456 matches the Rfam family "Plant small nucleolar RNA R71". The record is from RNAcentral. Lineage: Eukaryota; Viridiplantae; Streptophyta; Magnoliopsida; Brassicales; Brassicaceae.